UAACCUGACAGUGACAACAUGCUGGUAUAAGCACCCUUGCUAUUACACUUCUCUGCAUUCAUGCAACUACACCAGUUGACCAAUCUACAGUCCUAGGUCCAUAAUUCUGUUUCACAUUUGAAGUCCACCCACCUGCAGCUCUGCUGCUCCGUAAUAUUUUUUGACAUCUUUUAAAAUAAACAGUUUUACAAUUACAGCUAAGGCAUAUGAAAAUGAGUGCAAAAUGCAGAGACGAUAACACAUCACUGCAGGAUUUACAUAAAGCGGAGAGGGUGGGGGAAGAGAUCAUUUUCUACAGCAUCGAAGACAACAAAAAGAUGCAGGAUGGGUGACUGAGGUCAUGCAAGUCAAGCACAGGGAGUAUGAGAAAGGGUUAACCUAUG
Long non-coding RNA from Anolis carolinensis (green anole), 383 nucleotides. RefSeq lists it as uncharacterized. NCBI's taxonomy places the organism in Eukaryota, Metazoa, Chordata, Lepidosauria, Squamata, Anolidae. The transcript has 3 exons. The record is from RefSeq and is a predicted model, not a curated record.